GAGACGAUUUUUUAAACAUAAUUAGUGCAUGAUUGGACACAAAUUACCAAAUAAAACGAAAAUACUACAGUAAUUAAUAAAUUUUAACACCCCCAACCAAACACUCCCUUUAUUUGCUCUAGGACAAUGUGUGAAUAUAUUUCAUUAUCUCGAAAUCAAUUUAUGAAAGUGCAUAGUGCCACUAAAUUUUUCUACAAAUUUUCACUCCUGCCAAUUUUAUAAGGAUAUGUCUAUCCGUUGCUCGGCUGUUUUGGCUCCGAGAGCACUCCAAAUUUUUUCUUCGCCGUCUUCUUUCUCUUGACGUGCCACCGCUGCCACCACCAUCCCGCCGCGACACAUGUUCCAAUUAAAUGGUGAAUUAUGUCUACAUUCUCUAUUUCUCAAAGCCAUUUAAAAACCACUAGUCUCAUCUUUAACUAGAUGGCAAGUGAAUUCCAAUUCAUUCUUAGGCCCUAUUUAUGACAGCUCCAAAAGACUCUAGCUCUUUGCUAUAGUAUGCGGAGGAAUAGGAGUCGGUGAAGCAAAAAAUAGUUGCUUCAUCAACUCUUAGUUCCUUUUGUGAGAGAAAAAAGAAAAAUGGUUUCUUGCUACAAAUACACGGGGAGUUAAAACCUGAGCCUCAAGAGCUAUCAAACCAGACCUUAGACUAUAUGCUAUAUAUAAAUAUGGUUCGCCUAAACGGUCGUUUAGACCAUUUAAACACCGUAUAAACGUUACACAGUGGUACACCGUUUUUGUUUAAUAAUCUAUUUAGCCCGUUUAAUUGACCGUUUAGCCCGUUUAAUAGACUUUAGCCCGAAUAAUGACUAAACGGCAGGUGACCGACUGUUUACCGUUUAGCGUUUAGAAAAACAGAAUGUCUAUUAAUAUUUGAACAAAAGAGACUAGUACUUUGUUCUACUUUCCGGGAGGGAGAGUUGGUAAAGUGGACAUAUUUUGCGAGUAUAUGUUUAUUUUAGAGUACACGAAACAUAUAUACCGAGGUUAAAGUUCAAAGAUUUACAACGACCUUCUUUCUCCUUUUUUUAUUGUGUAUCCAAGGGUGGAAACAGCCAAAAAUGAGUCAGUGUCACUAAUAAAACGAUAAAGGUAAGCUAAAGAUGCAAAUGAUUUCGUCAGGAUUGACUGACCCUUGUGACAAUAUAUUUGUCAAUUCUUACGUCAUAGGAUUUUGACUACAUAAUAUAAUAUAAUGUUGGACUGUGAACGCUACGGAAGUUUUACAUUUUUAUCUUGAUGGUUCACGCUCUUUUAAAAAAAACUAUGGAUAUAUAAUGAGUAUACUUUUGCGGGAAUAUAAUCGACUUUGUUGUGAGGUAUAAUGCGGAUUUGAGAAGGAAAUAUACAUUAUAUUAUGAAGUCAAAAUCCUAUGACGUCCUUAGCAAACAUCUACUACAUGAGUGGCGUGAUGAUCCACACAACAUAAAUAGAAAAAUCCCGUGCCCUUCAUUAUUGGUGGCGCCCCUGACAUCAAAACAAAUCAUAGAAAAAGUAUUUGCGGUAAGAACAUGCAGACAUGCUCCCAGAUUUAAUAAUGCGAAAACUGCAGUAGUAAACUCUUCGCAUAGAAGUCUACUCUGUCCCGUGCAAUGCAUCGAUCUUUUCUUUGUUUGUUUUUUUGUUUUUUUUUUGGCAGAUUGCUCGGUUUCUCGUGGCCAUUAUGCACUUGGAGGAACUGAUGUCAGUCCUUGCUACAUUAGUC
Molecule: long non-coding RNA, 1703 nt
Filed under: Sorghum bicolor (sorghum)
Lineage: Eukaryota; Viridiplantae; Streptophyta; Magnoliopsida; Poales; Poaceae
Description: long non-coding RNA (SBIC_LNC005984)
Source: RNAcentral